UGGGCACAUGCUUCCUAUAUGCUCAGCCAGGUAUGCCUUUCUUUAAAGAUCUCAAAUCCCUCUAUUUCGAAAAUUGAAUCCAUCACAUUUAAUUUCCUACACCAGAAAAACAAAAUUAAUUCGACAUAUCUUCUAUAAAACUCGUAUAAUUUCAGGUACUGGGUGCUGAAAACGAGGCGAAAAAGAAGCUUAAGCACAUUGUCAUGGCAGCCACAAGGUGGUAUUAGAUAUGAAAAUCUACAUGUAUUAACUAACAAGUUAUAGCCAAAUAAACCAAUGAAUUUACAUUUCGUUUUUCGAUAUAUAAACAGAGAACAGAGAUUCGAGAGGGUGACAAAGAAUCUGAAGGUGGCUAGAGUAUUUACCACACUAGUGGAGGAGAUGAAAGCAAUCGGACUAGUAUCUCUCGACGAUUCACAGUGCACGAACGUGAUGGUGCCGAUGGCUCAUAAAGACAGAAGCCCGGUGCUCCUCCUCAUGGGUGGCGGCAUGGGAGCCGGCAAGAGUACUGUGCUCAAAGACAUUCUCAAAGAGUAAGCUAAAAAAAGAAAUGUUAAAUUUAUCAACUCCAAAUAAAUAGAAAAUAGAGAUAGAAUUAUUACAUUGUAGGAUUAACCCGAAUUUUGGAACAGACCAUUCUGGGCUGGAGCAUCUGGAAACGCAGUCGUAAUAGAAGCAGAUGCGUUCAAAGAAUCUGACGUCAUUUACAGAGCUCUAAGCUCUAGGGGCCACCACGACAUGCUUCAAACUGCUGAACUGGUAUUAUAUUUAUUCAUUGUCCAAUAA
This 786-nucleotide long non-coding RNA is filed under the name Erythranthe guttata (spotted monkey flower). RNAcentral's name for it is "long non-coding RNA (EGUT_LNC000028)". The record is from RNAcentral. Lineage: Eukaryota; Viridiplantae; Streptophyta; Magnoliopsida; Lamiales; Phrymaceae.